Hydrogenophaga sp. IBVHS1 is the source of this 122-nucleotide non-coding RNA. Lineage: Bacteria; Pseudomonadati; Pseudomonadota; Betaproteobacteria; Burkholderiales; Comamonadaceae. The record is from Rfam.
GCAACCUGAAGUUGGCGCACGGCAACACCGUGGUGUUUCGUUCGGUGCUUGGCAUCAGCUGGAUGUGGUUCUUCGGCGCGGUGUUCCUGAGCCAGUUCCCCAGCUUCGCCAAAGAAGUGCUG